GCCCAGAUGGCGGAAUUGGUANNAGACGCGCAUGGUUCAGGUCCAUGUGCCUUCGGGUGUGGAGGUUCGAGUCCUCUUCUGGGCACCA
RNAcentral lists this transfer RNA (88 nucleotides) under Pseudomonadota bacterium. RNAcentral describes it as "Proteobacteria bacterium (activated sludge metagenome) tRNA-Leu". It matches the Rfam family "tRNA". Rfam says of the family: Transfer RNA (tRNA) molecules are approximately 80 nucleotides in length. Their secondary structure includes four short double-helical elements and three loops (D, anti-codon, and T loops). Further hydrogen bonds mediate the characteristic L-shaped molecular structure. tRNAs have two regions of fundamental functional importance: the anti-codon, which is responsible for specific mRNA codon recognition, and the 3' end, to which the tRNAs corresponding amino acid is attached (by aminoacyl-tRNA synthetases). tRNAs cope with the degeneracy of the genetic code in two manners: having more than one tRNA (with a specific anti-codon) for a particular amino acid; and 'wobble' base-pairing, i.e. permitting non-standard base-pairing at the 3rd anti-codon position. Lineage: Bacteria; Pseudomonadati; Pseudomonadota. The record is from RNAcentral.